This 424-nucleotide ribosomal RNA is filed under the name Fusobacteriota bacterium. RNAcentral describes it as "Fusobacteria bacterium partial 16S ribosomal RNA". It matches the Rfam family "Bacterial small subunit ribosomal RNA", at positions 355 to 776 of the family's 1533-position model. The record is from RNAcentral. Lineage: Bacteria; Fusobacteriati; Fusobacteriota.
UGAGGAAUAUUGGUCAAUGGGCGAGAGCCUGAACCAGCCAAGUCGCGUGAAGGAAGACAGUCCUAAGGAUUGUAAACUUCUUUUAUACGGGAAUAACGGGCGAUACGAGUAUUGCAUUGAAUGUACCGUAAGAAUAAGCAUCGGCUAACUCCGUGCCAGCAGCCGCGGUAAAACGGAGGAUGCGAGCGUUAUCCGGAUUUAUUGGGUUUAAAGGGUGCGUAGGUUGUUCGGUAAGUCAGCGGUGAAACCUGAGCGCUCAACGUUCAGCCUGCCGUUGAAACUGCCGGGCUUGAGUUCAGUGGCGGCAGGCGGAAUUCGUGGUGUAGCGGUGAAAUGCAUAGAUAUCACGAGGAACUCCGAUUGCGAAGGCAGCUUGCCAUACUGCGACUGACACUGAAGCACGAAGGCGUGGGUAUCAAACAGG